AUAAAUGCCCUGUGUACACUUGCAAUGUAAAAGUCAGACUUGGUUUCAUUUGCUUUAGUUUGAAAUUUGACAGCCUAUUUGUAGAAUGUGUCUUUAAAUUGCAAGUUAAUCGUUAUCGUGGGUUGUAAAUGUAUGAGACUUGUGGUUUACCGCAAACUUUUUAUCUGCGAGUCAGUGGCUGGACGGUGUUGACAGUAUUAUUAGUUUCAGUAAGUUACUGCUGCUUUGUAUACGUUUGCACAUCCAUUUGUUUUCCCAAAAUCCAGGUGGGGACUUUCUGUUUGAUAUACGACUUACAAGUCAAAACCAAAGACAUGGCGAGGUCCUCUGUAGUGGAGUAGUGUAUUUAGAAGAAAUAACUUAUUCAACUGGAUUCUCUCUAGAUGAUAAUAAUAGUUUCAUCUGUAACUGUGGGAUAUUAGUGGUCGGUCAUCUCCCAGUCUUAACUACAACGAGAACGAUGCCUUUAGCGUGAUUAGUUACUUGAAAAGACAAGCAUCGCGUAGAAUGUAAGCUUAAUAAUUAAUGAGUACAGCCUGUUUACAUAAAAGGAUCAACUGUCCAAAAUGUAAAUACAGGCGAUGAUUAAUCACCUUGUUGCAAUCAAAUGCUGUACUGAAGAAACACCCAAAUAUAAUGUCCAAUCAUAUAACAUUUCCUUAUUAAAACAAACAUUUGACAGUUUUCCAACUAUGCACGAGGCGUGAGAUCUGAUGUACGCAUGCGCCAGAAUGCGGCAAAACAGGGACUGCAAUGGAUGAAUGGCGCGUGCGCUUUACACGCCCACAUAGAGUUUUGACAAAGAGCAAUUACAAACCCUCAGACUGGCAGAAAAUUCUGGAACUUGUACUGAGGUGGAGCUGGUUCUCAAACUGGAUCUUGAGCAAGCCACAUAAUCUUCAGAUUCAGUCUUGAGGCUUCACUGGAAUUGCAUGGACUUUCUGGAUCUGCCUAAAUCCUUAAUAUUUAUGGAGUAGAACUAAUAAAAUGUAAUUCUUUGACAGUGGAUUUGGGAUUGGUUGCACGUUGGAAAUACAAACGCGCACUUUAGGCCUAAACAAUAUUGUUGCAUGUUAUACAAUAAAUGAAUCCCCUGGAUACUUGGACAACAAUAUUCUUUUCUUCUUCCUGUUUCCAAGCACCACAAGACGAGGAAACAACGGGAUUAUAAACAAAACAGCGACAGAAUGUGGAAUGCGUUUGCGAGAAAUGGUUUGUGCUUGUGUGCUGGAGCGCUUUAAAACACCCUGGAACAGCCUCACCGUGGAGAAUUAAACACUUGCAGAUCGCAUGCCCGCGUCACAAACAGACCACACACUCGAUGUUCGUGAAUGUUCAGAUGUUAAUUUUUGGCGCCAGUUAUUGAAAGAAUGUUCUUUGAAAUAUGACGCCAUUUUGAGCAUAACCUAGUGUAGGGG
This is a long non-coding RNA of Carassius auratus (goldfish), 1418 nucleotides long. RefSeq lists it as uncharacterized. The transcript has 2 exons. Lineage: Eukaryota; Metazoa; Chordata; Actinopteri; Cypriniformes; Cyprinidae. The record is from RefSeq and is a predicted model, not a curated record.